Molecule: ribosomal RNA, 156 nt
Filed under: uncultured bacterium
Lineage: Bacteria
Description: partial 16S ribosomal RNA
Rfam family: Bacterial small subunit ribosomal RNA
Source: RNAcentral
UAAGGAAUAUUGGUCAAUGGGCGAGAGCCUGAACCAGCCAUGCCGCGUGCAGGAAGACGGCCCUCUGGGUUGUAAACUGCUUUUAUUCGGGAAUAAACCUACUUACGUGUAGAGAGCUGAAGGUACCGAAUGAAUAAGCACCGGCUAACUUCGUGC